UGAAAUAGUAAUGGGCUAUUCCAUUUAAUAUCCGUACCCCCCCUGUCGAGGAUACCUGGAAUUCUUCAGGGGUACAGUGUUUUGAGCUUGGAAUUCUUCAGGGGUAAAGGAUUUUGAGUUUGGAAUUCUUCAGGGGUAGAGUGUUUUGAGCUUGGAAUUCUUCAGGGGUAAAGGAUUUUGAGUUUGGAAUUCUUCAGGGGUACAGUGUUUUGAGCUUGGAAUUCUUCAGGGGUAAAGGAUUUUGAGUUUGGAAUUCUUCAGGGGUAGAGUGUUUUGAGUUUGGAAUUCUUAAGGGGUAAAUGAUUUUGAGUUUGGAAUUCUUCAGGGGUACAGUGUUUUGAGUUUGGAAUUCUUAAGGGGUAAAGGAUUUUGAGUUUGGAAUUCUUCAGGGGUACAGUGUUUUGAGCUUGGAAUUCUUCAGGGGUAAAGGAUUUUGAGUUUGGAAUUCUUCAGGGGUAAAGGAUUUUGAGUUUGGAAUUCUUCAGGGGUAGAGUGUUUUGAGUUUGGAAUUCUUCAGGGGUAAAGGGUUUUGAGCUUGGAAUUCUUCAGGGGUAAAGUGUUUUGAGUUUGGAAUUCUUCAGGGGUAAAUGGUUUUGAGCUUGGAAUUCUUCAGGUGUAAAGGGUUUUGAGCUUGGAAUUCUUCAGGGGUAAAGAGGUUUGAGAUUGAAAUUUUUCAGAGCUUGGAAUUCUUCAGGGGUGAAGGGAUUUGAGCUUGGAAUUCUGCAGGGGUAAAAGGUUUUGAGCUUGAAAUUCUUCAGGGGUAAAGGGUUUUGAGCUUGGAAUUCUUUAGGGGUGAUGGGUUUUGAGCUUGGAAUUCUUCAGGGGUAAAAGGUUUUGGGCUUGGAAUUCUUCAGGGGUAAAGGGUUUUGAGCUUGGAAUUUUGGAAUUCUUCAGGGGUAAACAGUUUUGAGCUUGGAAUUCUUCAGGGGUAUGACAAUGAAAAACAUGUAUCCUCGACAGGGGGGGUACGGAUAUUUUUCAAUUUUUUAACAUUUAGACUUUACCUUAUUUGACAUGAAAUUGAGAAGCAUAAAGAUGAAACUGAC
Non-coding RNA from Paramuricea clavata, 1046 nucleotides. The record is from the annotation of a GenBank genome assembly. Lineage: Eukaryota; Metazoa; Cnidaria; Anthozoa; Malacalcyonacea; Plexauridae.